AUGAAUCACUAGGGGUGCCUUGAGCUGAGAUUAUACCCGUAGAACCUGAUUUGGUUAAGACCAACGUAGGAAAGUGAUUGUACCAUCAA
This 89-nucleotide non-coding RNA is filed under the name Agrilactobacillus composti. Its description in RNAcentral is "Lactobacillus composti TPP sequence". It matches the Rfam family "TPP riboswitch aptamer (THI element)". From Rfam's summary of the family: Vitamin B(1) in its active form thiamin pyrophosphate (TPP) is an essential coenzyme that is synthesised by coupling of pyrimidine and thiazole moieties in bacteria. The previously detected thiamin-regulatory element, thi box was extended, resulting in a new, highly conserved RNA secondary structure, the THI element, which is widely distributed in eubacteria and also occurs in some archaea. Analysis of operon structures identified a large number of new candidate thiamin-regulated genes, mostly transporters, in various prokaryotic organisms. Lineage: Bacteria; Bacillati; Bacillota; Bacilli; Lactobacillales; Lactobacillaceae. The record is from RNAcentral. RNAcentral also lists the same sequence under 1 other name.